UAGCUACUCUGGUAGCUAAGCUUAAACAAGCUAAUUCUCUAAUAUUGAGACAUAUUUCAGCUUAUUGCGUGUUGCCUUGCAACCAACGGUCGGAGCUGCGGACCUCCCGCCCUCCAAAGGCUGCUCCAAGCUGCCCCCCUAAGAGGAAACAGCAUGCUUCGUCGAGGGUCUAUCGAGGACCACCUGAAACGCGAAGACGGAAAUCGAUGGCGAGGCUGCUUGCAGUAGUAAUGCUGUAGUAAUCCCUCCUGCACAUGGUUCCCUCGCUCCGAUAAACACCUCGCUCCCAUUGUUUCCUGGACUUCCUUGGUACUUUCGGGCCCCCGUGGUAUCACUUUGCCCAUGGCCUGUGGAGCUUGACAGGCUUCCUACUGUACAAGCUGGGCGGGACGGCGGGGAGGAGCGCUCUCUCACCACUCUCACCUGGGGCUAAUCACCAAUCUGGCACCAGUUAAAGCCUGCCGUCUCCUGUCGACGCAACACGACACACAUGCCAGCACGUUUGCUCAGCCUGCGCGCUGUACCCUGCCCAGCCUUCCACCGAACCUACCAGCAGCCCAGCCCCGAGCCUCACCUCAUGAGCCCCUGCAUGGGAUCACCUGGACACGAGACCCCCCUGAAUAUAUCCUUCCUUUUUGACUUCAAAACUGUCUGCCUCGGAUUUGCUUUUGGAUCCAGUUCUCAUCACCCCUAACUGUAAUGUACUGCAUGAAGCGGGGGCUAUAAACAUCUUUGUCAAUAUAGUUUUCCUACCGGAACUUACUCUGCUGAAACAUUAGCCUCAACAUUAAAAAACACAAACUUAUUCACAUACAGCGGUUUGUAUUAUAUCUUCUGAAAGAUUUCUCCUAAUAUUGUGUUUUUCAACUACCGUGUACCACAGAAUGUUGAAUCAAGUAAAGCAGUGGUCCCCAACCACCGGGCCGCGUGGGCUGUUUGGUACCGGGCCGCACCACAGAAAGCUUGUAUACAUAUUUUUUUUCUGAAAAAUGUUUGAUUUUGACAAUUGACCGGAUUUUCUCCUAAAUAUGUGCGGUCGUCCCUCUGACAUAUUUCCCACGUGUCACCCCCCCGUCGGUCGUUCCGCCCGCAACGACUACUACCC
Gasterosteus aculeatus aculeatus (three-spined stickleback) is the source of this 1105-nucleotide long non-coding RNA. Lineage: Eukaryota; Metazoa; Chordata; Actinopteri; Perciformes; Gasterosteidae. The record is from Ensembl.